Molecule: non-coding RNA, 636 nt
Organism: Nicotiana tabacum (common tobacco)
Lineage: Eukaryota; Viridiplantae; Streptophyta; Magnoliopsida; Solanales; Solanaceae
Source: RefSeq, a predicted model, not a curated record
UAAUGCAAAUGUCAUCCCUAGUAACAGUGAGGAUGGAUCUCUUGCUUGCUGCAGGAGGCUAUGAAACAGACAUACCAGAGAGCCCUAAAAGCGGCAACAGAUUUUGGUUAUCAAAAGGAAAGUCCAGAGGCGUUGGUCCAUGGAGCAGUGAUCUCUGCUUUCCUAACGAUUGCCAACGGUAUGGUGGACCAAGGAUGUGUAUAAAUUGCAGCUUUUUCUUGAUAUAGCUAAAUAUCAUAUUUAAUUACUUUUUAUUUGACGUCAAAUAAAAAGUAUGGUGGACCAGGAUCUUAUACAGUGCUUGAUAUUGUAGAUGGUGGGAGGAAUAUAUGUUUGUCAUUGUAGUGUACAUGUAUUAUGUAGGUGAGUUAAUGUCAGAGCUUUGGUAGGAUGUACUACAUUUCUAUGUUAGCUAGGUUUAGUUAGCUGCUGAAAUACAAAAAGUAAUUGUGAAAGCAAACACUUGGUAUUGUGGGGUUGAUGGACUUUUAAGUUUUCAGCAAGGAAAUCCUUAUAACUUGGAUGGACUCCAAUAAACCUUUCAAAGAUAAAAAGGCAAGAGAACACUCUGAUAAGUUGGAUGCAUGCUGUUACACCAAAAAGAAAUACACUAUUUUUCAGGGGUUUUGAUCUGAA